GUGCUCACUUCAGCAGCACAUAUACUAAAAUUGGAACGAUACAGAGAAGAUUAGCAUGGCCCCUGCACAAGGAUGACAUGCAAAUUCAUGAAGCAUUCCAUAUAUUU
RNAcentral lists this small nuclear RNA (107 nucleotides) under Procavia capensis (Cape rock hyrax). The record is from RNAcentral. Lineage: Eukaryota; Metazoa; Chordata; Mammalia; Hyracoidea; Procaviidae.